Long non-coding RNA from Salvelinus namaycush (lake trout), 649 nucleotides. RefSeq lists it as uncharacterized. The record is from RefSeq and is a predicted model, not a curated record. The transcript is spliced from 3 exons. Lineage: Eukaryota; Metazoa; Chordata; Actinopteri; Salmoniformes; Salmonidae.
UGUCUGUAAGAGGAUAAGCAACAACAAAUGUAGGUAUUAAUAAAGCACUUCAAAAUCUUCUAAAAUACUUUUUACAACAGAGGAGGAAGAGGAGGAAGAGGAGGAGGAGUGCCAAGAUGGAGUUGGCUUCCAAACAGCGCCCCCUGUCAGUCAUCUAGUGUUUAUAUAAAUCAUUGGCUCAGAAACCAGCUAGCUAUUACAUUGAAAUGUAUGAAUUGUUUUACAUUGGUUGUUAUUCCAUUGAAAUCCACAAAGUGCUUUGCAUUGGUUUUUCAGGUAGCCAAGGAAGGCACUGAACCUCAAGUUUCCCCACAAACCCCAGUGCUUGAGAUGUCCUCCUCUAACUCGUACCAUUCCUCAAUAACUUCAUUCCCAGUGUGCUGCACUGACUGCUGACAGGGGUGACAUGCUGUGACUAAGUGACAUCAUGAGUUGUCUUCCGGAGAGAACGAAGAGGCCAACAAGUGACCUGGCAGAGGAUGCUGAAACACUUCUAAUGGUUGGAAGCAACAGGUGCAGGGACAAGCUACACUGCUCACAGUGUAAAUGUAUGUACUGGACCGGUGCUGGACCCAGCCCAUCUGUCUUGUUCAUCUUGUAUUUUCCAUUGUGUUGGUGAUAGGUGGGGUGAAAUAAAAGAUUGUUUGCA